AUGCAUAGAUUGCUCACCGCCAUGACAAAAACGUUGGUGGGGCGGUAUCAAGAGCAGAGAAGCCUCGGCGAAGGUUUUGACAUCGACGCCUGCAAGAGCGGUGAACAGAGCAAGUAUCCACAAUUCCACAGAGCAAGACCGUCAGCAACAAACGCAGGACGCUUCCAUAAAUUUCAGCAAAGAGAAUCCUGGAAGUGUUACCUCAAACAGUGCAUGUGCAAUCUGUUCUGGAAGACCAUCCCUCCAAGAACAACAAGUGAAUGCUUGUGCAAUCUGUUCUGGAAGACCGUCCUUCCAAGCACAAUGGCGUGCCAUAAUUCCAGCAAGUGA
This 330-nucleotide ribosomal RNA is filed under the name Triticum aestivum (bread wheat). RNAcentral's name for it is "partial small subunit ribosomal RNA". Lineage: Eukaryota; Viridiplantae; Streptophyta; Magnoliopsida; Poales; Poaceae. The record is from RNAcentral.